This 1301-nucleotide ribosomal RNA is filed under the name Pseudomonas aeruginosa. RNAcentral's name for it is "bacterial SSU rRNA". It matches the Rfam family "Bacterial small subunit ribosomal RNA", at positions 105 to 1434 of the family's 1533-position model. Lineage: Bacteria; Pseudomonadati; Pseudomonadota; Gammaproteobacteria; Pseudomonadales; Pseudomonadaceae. The record is from RNAcentral.
GGUGAGUAAUGCCUAGGAAUCUGCCUGGUAGUGGGGGAUAACGUCCGGAAACGGGCGCUAAUACCGCAUACGUCCUGAGGGAGAAAGUGGGGGAUCUUCGGACCUCACGCUAUCAGAUGAGGGAUUACCUAGUUGGUGGGGUAAAGGCCUACCAAGGCGACGAUCCGUAACUGGUCUGAGAGGAUGAUCAGUCACACUGGAACUGAGACACGGUCCAGACUCCUACGGGAGGCACCAGUGGGGAAUAUUGGACAAUGGGCGAAAGCCUGAUCCAACCAUGCCGCGUGUGUGAACAAGGUCUUCGGAUUGUAAAGCACUUUAAGUUGGGAGGAAGGGCAGUAAGUUAAUACCUUGCUGCUUUGACGUUACCAACAGAAUAAGCACCGGCUAACUUCGUGCCACGGUAAUACGAAGGGUGCAAGCGUUAAUCGGAAUUACUGGGCGUAAAGCGCGCGUAGGUGGUUCAGCAAGUUGGAUGUGAAAUCCCCGGGCUCAAACCUGGGAACUGCAUCCAAAACUACUGAGCUAGAGUACGGUAGAGGGUGGUGGAAUUUCCUGUGUAGCGGUGAAAUGCGUAGAUAUAGGAAGGAACACCAGUGGCGAAGGCGACCACCUGGACUGAUACUGACACUGAGGUGCGAAAGCGUGGGGAGCAAACAGGAUUAGAUACCCUGGUAGUCCACGCCGUAAACGAUGUCGACUAGCCGUUGGGAUCCUUGAGAUCUUAGUGGCGCAGCUAACGCGAUAAGUCGACCGCCUGGGGAGUACGGCCGCAAGGUUAAAACUCAAAUGAAUUGACGGGGGCCCCGGUGGAGCAUGUGGUUUAAUUUGAAGCAACGCGAAGAACCUUACCUGGCCUUGACAUGCUGAGAACUUUCCAGAGAUGGAUUGGAACUCAGACACAGGUGCUGCAUGGCUGUUGUCAGCUCGUGUCGUGAGAUGUUGGGUUAAGUCCCGUAACGAGCGCAACCCUUGUCUUUAGUUACCAGCACCUCGGGUGGGCACUCUAAGGAGACUGCCGGUGACAAACCGGAGGAAGGUGGGGAUGACGUCAAGUCAUCAUGGCCCUUACGGCCAGGGCUACACACGUGCUACAAUGGUCGGUACAAAGGGUUGCCAAGCCGCGAGGUGGAGCUAAUCCCAUAAAACCGAUCGUAGUCCGGAUCGCAGUCUGCAACUCGACUGCGUGAAGUCGGAAUCGCUAGUAAUCGUGAAUCAGAAUGUCACGGUGAAUACGUUCCCGGGCCUUGUACACACCGCCCGUCACACCAUGGGAGUGGGUUGCUCCAGAAGUAGCUAGU